CCUACGGGCGGCAGCAGUGGGGAAUAUUGGACAAUGGGGGGAACCCUGAUCCAGCCAUGCCGCGUGUGUGAAGAAGGCCCCCGGGUUGUAAAGCACUUUCAGUGAGGAAGAACGCCUGGUGGUUAAUACCCAUCAGGAAAGACAUCACUCACAGAAGAAGCACCGGCUAACUCCGUGCCAGCAGCCGCGGUAAUACGGAGGGUGCGAGCGUUAAUCGGAAUUACUGGGCGUAAAGCGCGCGUAGGUGGCUUGAUAAGCCGGUUGUGAAAGCCCCGGGCUCAACCUGGGAACGGCAUCCGGAACUGUCAAGCUAGAGUGCAGGAGAGGAAGGUAGAAUUCCCGGUGUAGCGGUGAAAUGCGUAGAGAUCGGGAGGAAUACCAGUGGCGAAGGCGGCCUUCUGGACUGACACUGACACUGAGGUGCGAAAGCGUGGGUAGCAAACAGGAUUAGAUACCCCUGUAGUC
Molecule: ribosomal RNA, 465 nt
Filed under: Vreelandella stevensii
Lineage: Bacteria; Pseudomonadati; Pseudomonadota; Gammaproteobacteria; Oceanospirillales; Halomonadaceae
Description: partial 16S ribosomal RNA
Rfam family: Bacterial small subunit ribosomal RNA
Source: RNAcentral